Molecule: transfer RNA, 71 nt
Organism: Toxocara canis (dog roundworm)
Lineage: Eukaryota; Metazoa; Nematoda; Chromadorea; Rhabditida; Toxocaridae
Rfam family: tRNA
About the family: Transfer RNA (tRNA) molecules are approximately 80 nucleotides in length.
Source: Rfam
GCGGCAAUAGCUUAGUGGUAGAACCCCGCUUCUCGUGCGGGGAGACCCGGGUUCGAAUCCCGGCUGUUUCC